RNAcentral lists this ribosomal RNA (349 nucleotides) under gamma proteobacterium SCGC AAA024-N03. Its description in RNAcentral is "partial 16S small subunit ribosomal RNA". It matches the Rfam family "Bacterial small subunit ribosomal RNA", at positions 394 to 735 of the family's 1533-position model. Lineage: Bacteria; Pseudomonadati; Pseudomonadota; Gammaproteobacteria. The record is from RNAcentral.
AUGCCGCGUGUGUGAAGAAGGCCUUCGGNUUGUAAAGCACUUUNNGUUGGGAGGAAGGGNAGNNAGUUAAUACCUUGCUGUUUUGACGUUACCCACAGAAUAAGCACCGGCUAACUCCGUGCCAGCAGCCGCGGUAAUACGGAGGGUGCAAGCGUUAAUCGGAAUUACUGGGCGUAAAGCGCGCGCAGGUGGUUNGUUAAGUCAGAUGUGAAAUCCCCGGGCUCAACCUGGGAACUGCAUUNGAAACUGGCNAGCUAGAGUAUGGUAGAGGGGGGUGGAAUUNCCUGUGUAGCGGUGAAAUGCGUAGAUAUNGGNAGGAACACCGGUGGCGAAGGCGACCCCCUGGACA